This 433-nucleotide ribosomal RNA is filed under the name uncultured bacterium. RNAcentral's name for it is "partial 16S ribosomal RNA". It matches the Rfam family "Bacterial small subunit ribosomal RNA", at positions 29 to 507 of the family's 1533-position model. The record is from RNAcentral.
AACGAACGCUGGCGGCAUGCCUAACACAUGCAAGUCGAACGAGGCCUUCGGGUCUAGUGGCGCACGGGUGCGUAACGCGUGGGAACCUGCCCUUAGGUUCGGAAUAACUCCCCGAAAGGGGUGCUCAUACCGGAUAAUGUCUUCGGACCAAAGAUUUAUCGCCUUUGGAUGGGCCCGCGUUGGAUUAGCUAGUUGGUAGGGUAAAAGCCUACCAAGGCGACGAUCCAUAGAUGGUCUGAGAGGAUGAUCAGCCACACUGGGACUGAGACACGGCCCAGACUCAGACGGGAGGCAGCAGUGGGGAAUAUUGGACAAUGGGCGAAAGCCUGAUCCAGCAAUGCCGCGUGAGUGAUGAAGGCAUUAGGGUUGUAAAGCUCUUUUACCCGGGAUGAUAAUGACAGUACCGGGAGAAUAAGCUCCGGCUAACUACGUG